ACAGCUAUAGCACAUUGGAUACACCAUUUCUCGUCUGAUCACCAAGUUAAGCAAUUUCAGCCCCGGUCAGUAUUUGGGAGGGUGACCACUUGGGAACACCUUGGUACUGUAGGCU
Non-coding RNA from Cordylochernes scorpioides, 115 nucleotides. Lineage: Eukaryota; Metazoa; Arthropoda; Arachnida; Pseudoscorpiones; Chernetidae. The record is from the annotation of a GenBank genome assembly.